RNAcentral lists this ribosomal RNA (332 nucleotides) under uncultured eukaryote. RNAcentral describes it as "partial 18S ribosomal RNA". It matches the Rfam family "Eukaryotic small subunit ribosomal RNA", at positions 1470 to 1796 of the family's 1831-position model. The record is from RNAcentral.
CCCUUAGAUGUUCUGGGCUGCACACGUGCUACACUGGCAGGUUCAGCGAGCUUAAUGCCCUGAUCUGAAAGGAAUGGGAAAUCUUUUCAAAACCUGCCGUGCUUGGGAUAGAUGUUUGCAAUUAUUCAUCUUCAACGAGGAUUGCCUUGUAAGCGCACGUCAUCAGCGUGCAUUGAAUACGACCCUGUAUUCUGUACACACCGCCCGUCGCUCCUACCGAUUGAAGUUUUCGGUGAGUUGACAGGAGGAUUUUUUUGAAACUGGUUCGCCAGUGGAUUUUAGAUCCAAAUGCCAACGAAUCGAUGGCUUUAGAGGAAGGAGAAGUCGUAACA